CUUGUAACUGCAGAAGGAGGGUGACAGAGUUGAAUGAGAACGACAGCUUCAAGGAAACUGGGCCUAAUCCCCAUUUCUGUCCCAUGUUUACCCUGUGAGCUCUCUUCACCUGAAUAAUGAAGAAACUGAGAUUCAGCGGCACAUCUUGCGGACAACAGAAGCGUUUCUGAGAGAGCGUGCUAUGCCUCACUCAUUCAAAGAGCCAGUAAGAAACGUCUAAAGAAGAGAAGGUGAGACAAUGACAAUGCUAUUCUCAAAGUAAUGACUUCUAAACUUUAAUCUCUGGAACUCUGACCCUGUUCAUCCAAAUUGCCAACCCACACCAUAAACUUCCUACCAAUUGUUUGCAUGUACUGAGAAGAAUGCAGUUCCCCUCCUGAAAUCUCUACCUACCAUUAAUAAAAAGUUUUCAAAAUAUUCAGAACAGAAUAUAGCAUU
This is a long non-coding RNA of Bubalus bubalis (water buffalo), 438 nucleotides long. RefSeq lists it as uncharacterized. The transcript is spliced from 4 exons. The record is from RefSeq and is a predicted model, not a curated record. Lineage: Eukaryota; Metazoa; Chordata; Mammalia; Artiodactyla; Bovidae.